RNAcentral lists this ribosomal RNA (478 nucleotides) under uncultured bacterium. RNAcentral's name for it is "partial 16S ribosomal RNA". It matches the Rfam family "Bacterial small subunit ribosomal RNA", at positions 28 to 507 of the family's 1533-position model. The record is from RNAcentral.
GAUGAACGCUCGCGGCAGGCCUAACACAUGCAAGUCGAGGGAGAAGCCCUUUCGGGGGCAGAAACCGGCGCACGGGUGCGUAACGCGUAUGCAACCUACCUUUCACAGGGGGAUAGCCCGAAGAAAUUUGGAUUAAUACCCCAUAAUAUUGUUGGAUGGCAUCAUUUGGCAAUUAAAACUGCGGUGGUGAAAGAUGGGCAUGCGUCCUAUUAGCUAGUUGGAGUGGUAACGGCACCCCAAGGCUACGAUAGGUAGGGGUCCUGAGAGGGAGAUCCCCCACACUGGUACUGAGACAGGGACCAGACUCCUACGGGAGGCAGCAGUGAGGAAUAUUGGUCAAUGGUCGGAAGACUGAACCAGCCAUGCCGCGUGCAGGAAGAAUGCCUUAUGGGUUGUAAACUGCUUUUAUAUGGGAAGAAUAAGGCGUACGUGUACGUUGAUGACGGUACCAUAUGAAUAAGCAUCGGCUAACUCCGUG